AGUUGUUAAAAAAAACAACAGGAUCCUGCCUCAACUCUCUCUGCAGCAAGCUGAAUAAACCUCCAUUAUCAUGACACUGAUAUUAUUUUCUACUACUUUAAACAUUACCACAGAUUCUGAAUAUAUAGCUAAUUUUUUCCCUCAUAUUUCUGUAGCUGUGUUAUCCCCUCAUUUGGAUUCUGAUUUACUAUUUUUUUAACCUUUCAGACUCUUUCACAGCAUCAAAAGUCUCCAAUCUUCCUUGCUCAUAUGCACAGCCAUACCAUGAUUCCUGGACCUCUGACCGAGAAUAACGCCCACACAGAUACAGCUGUGAGGUCCCUAAUCUUUUAUUGUCAGAUGCUGUAAAACUCAUGGAUUUUCUGCUCAUGAAGGAAGACGUUUUCCAUUUCUUCCCCAAAAGCUCAGGCCACUGUCAAUAACUGUUCUCACUGUAUAUCCUUCUGGGCCCCUAUGUGGGAAUCUGUAAACCCACAAGGACUAUAUUCUAAUGCACUUAGGCAAAUGGGUGUUAACCCAUUGACCUCCUUUUCAUCCUUAUUCCUUUCUUCAUAUUUCCACUGAUAUCAUUCUGGGUUUAUUUGGGCUACUGCAGAUUGAUCUAAAAAUUUACCUGCUCACAAUUCUCGUUUAUUAUUCUGCUUUGUCACUAUGGGCAAGCCUACUUAUUUAAAACAGAAAAUGCCCCUGCAUAUAUACCCUGUGCUUUUGCACAAUUUGCUACUCAUUGGUAUAUAAUUUUAAUCCAUGGAAUUACUCAUACUCCUACCAAAAAAUCCUUGGUUGAUGAGCACAUUGUACCCUAAUGACAUUCUAUUUAAAAAAUUAAAAAGGGGACAUAACCCACAGUAUAAUACAAUUCUUAAUUUUAUGAAAAUGGGAAUAAAAUAAAGAAUAUAAGGAACAAUGGGGAUCAAGUGAACUUAAGUGGUGGUUUAUAAUUCCUAAAAGUUUUCCUGAGAACUGGAAAUUUCUUAUAUUUGAAAUCUCCUGUUUAUAUGACAGUCAUGUUUUCUUGUUUACACUUAAUAUGCUCUGGUUAUUCUAAUUUAUGGAAAAAUGAGCUGAUUUUUAUUAUCAUCAAUGCCAAACAAGGCUUCAAAUUAAUUAAAAUCUUUCAUUAAACAUAAAGUUACUUUCACAUAUGCUACAAUCAUAAUAAGUACAUAUAUUUGCAUAUGCUUUCUUUGGAUUUUAAAAUAUUCCCUACUGCAAGAUUUUGUAUACAAAAAUCCCAUUGUUGCUUACAUAAUAGUAAAUUAAUCAAAUUAAGUUAUACUACCUAGAAUAAAAUAAAAUGAAAAUAAUUUACUCAUAAAAUUCAUUUUAAAUCAUCUUUAUUUAUAAAAUACUAUCCUAAGAUUUAUAAUUCCAUUAAGCUUCAACUGUAGCAAAAUAUAAUCACUUACUUAAGCAAAAACAGAUACUUCAACUUAAAAUGAGAGAUAAGUCAAAUUACUUUUGAAAAGAGAUCAGAAAUAUCAGGUUUUUUGUUGUGGUUCUGGAUUUUCAGUAGCAGUCUCAUUUCAAGGUGGAAUCAACCCUGAAGGUAACUUACUUCUACUUUCAGAAUGUGGACAUAGGGGAGGAAUGCGGUUCUUGGUGGAAGAUCAUGAGAAAAACACCUCAGUGAAUAGACAUUUCCCAUUGGGAAUGGAGGGGGUUGUGGGCCCCAGUGGAAAAUAAUCUCUAGAUGCUCCAUAUAUGUUUCCUGGUGAAGGUGGAGGAAAAAAAAUUUGUCUUCUCAUGAACUGACUCCUUGGGUCCACUGGAAACAAUGCACCUCUGACUGGAGGGGAAGAUGAAAAAACAAAACUAGAGCCAGUUGCUUGGUUUUUAGCAAUGAGAGAUGAAUCAGGCACAUAAGAAUUACCAAGAUUGACUUUGAUAUCAUCUUUACUAGAUUCCAUUUUUGAAGACAGAGGCCCAUACACUUUAUCCAAAAGAAAGCAUAUUAAAAUUUCUGUGUUCUGCCAGUCCAGAUAGUCUACCAUAAUUAGAAUAAUAUACAUCCUCCGUUUGUAGAGGAAGAUGUGGAUCCGAAUAUGGUUUACCUGGUGGAGGGAUCAUCAUCCUACAGGCCUUUUCCCAUGGAGGUGACAGGGGCCCAGGAUUAUGAGGCACUCUUGAGGAUCAAUUAACCCAACAUAGCCUUAUUUUCUCCUGUCAUUGAUAAUCUGAGGUUCCAGAUGACUCUCUCGGCCUCUUGAGCCUCUUUCUCCUCCCACUGGCACCAAAGAUGAGAAUAUGAAUGGACCCUUCUUCUCCAAAUUAGGUCCUAUCAUUUCAGAUGAAGUUUGACCCAAUAGUGAGGGACCAUUUGGGAAUGAUCUCUGGCAAAGGCUGUAUUUGAAUCAUCAAGUGCAUAAGAAUCUUUUCCUAAAAAGUUUAAAUUUAACCUCAUUUUCACUUAAUUUUUGUCUGUUGUAAGCAUUUUGUUUCCUUAAAUCUUGAGGUAACUUUUAGCACUGUGUGCUGCCAGCUCAUUAUCAUGUGCUUUUUUUUCAUAGUACAUAAUCUGCUCCUGAUAAGAAAGAAUGGUUCUCUCUAGUUCUUCUUCAAGAUUUUUGACUUGGUUUCUAUAGUUCUCCAGCUGUUCAGUUGUAUGGCUGAUGUAUUCAUCCACUUUGGAAAGUUUCUCCUCUUGCUCUACCCAGUAAUUUUCCUCUCCUAUUAAUUUCCUUGUGAGUUUCAUUACAUUUUUUGUUAUAGUUCAAUCAUGACAUUAAAUUUCUGCUGAAGAUUCUGAUUCUCUCUUUUAAAUUGUGUAUUUUUGACUGCAAAGAUGCUUGCUCUGUCUUAAGGUUUUUAAUAUGUUCUAUAAGGUCUUCCUUUACUUCAUCUACUUCAGAUGAUAAAGUAAACAUUUUAUUUUAUUCUCCUUCUAAGGUUUUUAAAAGGGGCAUUUAACUUAGCAUCAUAAACCUGUUCCUUCAAAACUCCUUUUGGCUGAUCGUCUAAGUGAGCACCAAUUUCUGAUUCACUCUUCAUUUUCAUUUCCAAGUUACCAUCAUCUUUUAGGUCUUCUCCAAACACAGAAGCCCAAUCUCUCAUCUGAACCAAGUGUUGAGUCAGAGACUUAAUGUAAUUUUCUUUCUCUCUUAGAACUUGUUCUGCAUAGAGAGUCUUCCAAUGUUAUUUUCUGUUUAUUAAGGUCAUUCACUUUUUCUUUCCAUACUUCAGCUUCUUGUAAAAGUUGUUUUUGAGUAUCCUGAAGUUGGAAAUUUUCUUUCAAAACCUCUUUUAUUGCUACCUUAAAUCAUUCUACAUUCAUUUGAAGUAUUCUCAAGGUUGUGUCAGAUUUGGCUAUUAGUAACUUGAGGGGUUUUGAUUUAUCUACUAGGGACUUAAUCCUUCUUGAUAUAUCUGCCAUUAAUUCAUCCUGUUGAGAAUGUUUAGUUUUCUCUUUUUUAAGCUCUUUUUCUAGAAAGAGUAUUUCAUCCCCAAGUUUAGAUUUAGACCUAUCCAGCUUAUCAUACAUUGCCUCCAAAUUUUCUGCUUCUAUAGACUUCUUCUCCAAAAUGGCAACCUUUAAAGAUGACUCUAAGCCUUCAUACUCUUUUUGCACAAGGCUAACUUUCUCAAGUAGUACACCUUUUUCUUCAAUUAGUCCAGCAAGUUUUAGAGCAAGCUUUUUUUCCUCUUCUCACAUAAUAAAUGCCUCUAACACAUUGACAACAUGUCCACAGAAACAAGAGAACAGCAAAAAAUGCAAUAGCUGCAUAUAUCACCAACUCCCAAGGAUAUCCAUAAGGAUGAGGGCCUGGUUUCAUAUCUGCAGACAAUGAUGCCAAAGCCCUGUGUACAUCUUCUAGGAUGAGCCCCAAAUACAGCUGAGGGGCACCCCUUGGCCACUCCAUCACACCAAGUCUGCUUUGCCUAAUGCUGCUGAAGCCACAGUCUGUCCAGCCAUGCCCUAACAGGCUGUGAACACUCAGGUCUUUGGUGAGGAACUCAAACCUGCACCAGGCAAUGGAGCAUACCAAUGUGAAGCAGCUGUGGGGGUGGGAUGUAGAGCUGUGGGCAUGGGGAUGGGAAGCCACAGUCAUAGGCUCCCAGGAGCCUAGCACACUCAAGUGCCUGUCAGGGAAUUCUUGGCCCCUUCACUAUGGCAUGCAUCCUGAAGCAGUGAAGGUUCCAGUCUGUCCCAGUUGAGCCAGAGAGGACUCCUCUCCUUGCCACCCACCCCUUAGUUUAGUUUCAUCCAGCCCAAGACAGAGCUUUUUAUGUGCUCUUCCAUUCAGUCAUAAUGUCAACCAGUUUGAUGUAACUAAAAUUCUAAAGCUUUGUAAAAUAAUUUAAAGAGCUACUACAUCAUAUAUUUGUACUACUUGCCCUAUUAUUGUAAUGACUCAUUCCUUUCCCUCCCCUCCUGUCCACUCCCUUUUUCCUUCCUUCUUCCUUCUUUGUCCCUUCUCUCCCUUUCCUUCCCUUGCAGUGUUGGGAGUUAAACUCCAAGGCCUUCUCCAUGCUAGGCAAGCUCUCUAUUACUGAGCAGCAUCUGCAGCCUGUUGACACUUACUAUAGAAGUAAUCUGAAUUAUUUCUAUAGAAAAACUCUUGAGUUAGAAACUAUUUCAAAAGUAAUUUUAAAAGAGUUGGUACCCUGGGCACAAAUCAGUUAUAACAAGUUGUUUUUUAAAAGUACAAAAAGCCUAUGUAAUAUUUCUACAAAAAUGAAUUUGAAACUUGAGUUGAUUUUCAUGUCUGUUUUACUAGACUACUACUUAUUUAAGACUUCCAAAUCAUUUUUCAGAUGUUCUUUUGACUUCUUAUAUGAUGUAAAAACUUCUAAGAAACUGGGUCAUUAUAAAUAUACAGCAGAAAUAAGGAUAAGAUCUGACACUUUGAAAUGGCUUUAGCUCCUAAAGGUGAAUUAUGUUGUUGUUUCUGCAACUGGUAUUUGGGGCAAAAAUGGGAGUUCAUAACCCACUUGAAUCAAAUGUAUGAAAGAUGAUAUGUCAUGAGCUUUGUAAUGUUUUGAACAACCAAUAAAAAAGAUAGAGUUCAUUGCUUGAUGUAAAUAAAAGACAUCUAAUAUAUUUUUUUUAUUCCUAGUUAUGCUUGAAUUGUUGAUAAGCCAAAUCUAAU
RNAcentral lists this long non-coding RNA (5090 nucleotides) under Marmota monax (woodchuck). Lineage: Eukaryota; Metazoa; Chordata; Mammalia; Rodentia; Sciuridae. The record is from RNAcentral.